AUGUCGUCAUUGUCGUCGUUAGCGGACCUCCCGUGGCAGGCGCGCGGCGGCGGGGUCUUCGACGUCGGGCAGGGCAGCGCGCUGGUGCUCGCGUCGUACCCGGUGCUCCUGCUCCUCGUCCUCCUCUCCGCGUUCGUCAGGUACGUGUGGAUCGCGCUGGCGCUCUACCGCGCGAUCUUGUUCGUGAUCACAUGCACCGGCCGCUUGCUGGCCGGGCCGGUGGUGUUCGUGCACGACGAGGCCACGGCGGCCGUCGAGCGGGGCGGCCUACCACAGGCGUCCAUUCCGGCCAUGCCAGCGUUCGUGUACGGCGCCGCAGCUUCGGCCGGUGCCGGCAAUCGCGAGGCCCAGUGCGCGGUUUGCCUGAAGGCUCUGUCCGGCGGGGAGAAGGUGCGGCGGCUACCGAUGUGCGCGCACACGUUCCACGUCGGGCGCAUCGACAUGUGGUUCCACUCUCAUGCGACGUGCCCGGUCUGCCGGUGCCAUGUCGAGCCGCAGAAGGCGGGCAAAGUGUCGCCAUUGUCGCCAGAGCCAGCUCGAUCUGCCGCCGGUGUAGUUGUUGCUGGCGGUGCCAGGACAAUUUUUUUAGAACGAAGGCUCAAGUCGAGUCCGGCUUCGAAUUAA
Molecule: ribosomal RNA, 624 nt
Filed under: Triticum aestivum (bread wheat)
Lineage: Eukaryota; Viridiplantae; Streptophyta; Magnoliopsida; Poales; Poaceae
Description: partial small subunit ribosomal RNA
Source: RNAcentral